Molecule: long non-coding RNA, 351 nt
Organism: Ixodes scapularis (black-legged tick)
Lineage: Eukaryota; Metazoa; Arthropoda; Arachnida; Ixodida; Ixodidae
Exons: 4
Source: RefSeq, a predicted model, not a curated record
CGUCCGUGCAGACAAAGGCCUGUUUGAACCUUCAACGUGCGUGGGUCAAAUGAUUGUUUAGGUGACUAGAAGCUGCCGAUGAGCUGCCAGUCCGGAUGGCAGCUAUCAACACUGCAAGGGCCUGCAGGCGCAUCAGCUCUCCUCCCGUUCCUCUACUGCCAUUGGAGACAGGAUGCUUAGUAAAAAGUGGGAGCUCAUGAAGGUGGCACUGUGCACAGAAGGACAGUGUGGCUGACAGUGAGCUGCCCAAGACAACCUGCUGGCUCUCGUGACCAUCUCCGAAAGCCUCUGGAUGGGCUAAUUGACAGGCGUGCCUGGACAUUUAUAAACGGCUGCUCUUAUAUGCACCAU